GAGAAAAAAAAGAAAGAACCGAGAAAGAGAAGAGAGAAACCGUGAACUUUUUUGAGCUUUCGAGCUCGAUUUCUUGUAAUUCGUGAUCUCAGUCAAAAAUCUAAUCCGAUAAAAGUGUUCGUAUCUUCUUCCUCUACACGUUGACGUUAUUUUUGUUCGGUGGAAGCUGAUGGUGACGUAGCUUCCCUUUCCCUUGAGUUCGGCCAACUGGAGUUUUAGGAGGCACAGAAGAUUCCGGACGUUUUCUUCUUCGGCAGCUCGGUCAGAAAGUUUCUCCGGAGUUUCGAGUAUUUUGAUUUCGUACGGAGAUAGUGGAUAAAGCUGUGGUUGCGACUACUGCUGGGUGUGAGCCGAGAGAAAAGGAUUUCUUUGAGGCAUUUAGUUUAUGGGUUCGACAAUCGAGUGACACAGGUUCAAUUCGGAGAUUCAGUAAGAAGUUGCAGACGAUUAGUAGCUUUACUUGUGAUUUCUGUUGUUUUUAUAGAGUUCCCUCGCCCUUGUUGCUU
Non-coding RNA from Arachis ipaensis, 506 nucleotides. The record is from RefSeq and is a predicted model, not a curated record. Lineage: Eukaryota; Viridiplantae; Streptophyta; Magnoliopsida; Fabales; Fabaceae.